UACGUAGGGUGCGAGCGUUAAUCGGAAUUACUGGGCGUAAAGGGUGCGCAGGCGGUCCUGCAAGUCAGGCGUGAAAUCCCCGGGCUUAACCUGGGAAUGGCACUUGAAACUACGGGACUGGAGUAUGGCAGAGGGAGGUGGAAUUCCACGUGUAGCGGUGAAAUGCGUAGAGAUGUGGAGGAACACCGGUGGCGAAGGCAGCCUCCUGGGCCAAUACUGACGCUCAUGCACGAAAGCGUGGGGAGCAAACAGG
This 253-nucleotide ribosomal RNA is filed under the name uncultured bacterium. Its description in RNAcentral is "partial 16S ribosomal RNA". It matches the Rfam family "Bacterial small subunit ribosomal RNA", at positions 524 to 776 of the family's 1533-position model. The record is from RNAcentral.